UCCAGCUUGGAAGGACACCAGCCGGCCGAGGAGGCACCUCAGCACCAAGGACAGGCCGACCAGAUAGGCUCCUCCGGCCGCAGCGGCGGGCGCAGACUCUCGGUCCGGCGCAUCGUACCGACGGUGUGAGGAGGCGGCGGCGUCCGCAGAGGUGUUUCUGUCAGGCAGGGCUCAUCGUUUGUCUAUCGAACAGAUCAGCUUGGAUUCCUCCACCUCUCUGACAGAGACAGCUGAGCUGAAUUCAACAUGUCAAGCACACAGAUAGACAACAUCUCUGCAAACUCUGAAGCGAAGAAAACAGACCUGAGAAUGAAUGAGAAGAAAUGCUCGUGGGCUUCCUAUAUGACUAAUUCCCCAACAGUGAUCGUAAUGAUCGGCCUGCCUGCAAGAGGGAAGACGUACAUGUCAAAGAAACUCACACGUUACCUCAACUGGAUCGGAGUCCCAACUAAAGUGUUUAACUUAGGCGUGUACCGCAGAGAGGCUGUCAGAGCUUAUAAGUCCUAUGACUUCUUCCGCCACGACAAUGAGGAGGCCAUGAAAAUCAGGAAGCAGUGUGCUUUGGUAGCUCUGCAGGAUGUGAAGGCAUACUUGACGAAGGAGGGAGGUCAGAUCGCGGUUUUUGAUGCAACAAACACAACAAGAGAACGACGAGACCUCAUUCUGUCUUUUGUGAAGGAGAAUUCAUUCAAGGUGUUCUUUGUGGAGUCAGUGUGUGACGACCCAGAGGUUAUUGCUGCUAAUAUUCUGGAAGUGAAAGUGUCCAGUCCUGACUACCCUGAGAGACACAGAGAGAGAGUAAUGGAUGACUUCCUCAAGCGAAUUGAGUGCUACAAGGUUACGUACCAACCAUUAGACCCUGAUGAUUAUGACAAGGACCUGUCUUUCAUCAAGGUGAUGAAUGUGGGCCGACGUUUCCUAGUGAACCGGGUGCAGGACUACAUCCAGAGUAAGAUUGUCUACUACCUCAUGAACAUCCAUGUGCACUCUCACUCCAUCUACCUGUGUCGGCACGGAGAGAGCAACCACAACGUCGAAGGCCGCAUCGGAGGAGACUCCGAGCUUUCUCCUCGAGGGAAACAGUACGCCCAUGCCCUGCGAGAUUUUAUUGAGGAGCACAAACUGUCAGAUUUGAAGGUGUGGACGAGCCAACUGAGAAGAACCAUCCAGACAGCGGAGGAGCUGGGGGUUCCUUAUGAACAGUGGAAGAUACUCAACGAGAUUGAUGCUGGUGUGUGUGAGGAGAUGACUUACGAGUUGAUCCAGAAGACAUUCCCAGAGGAGUUUGCUUUGAGAGACCAGGACAAGUACCACUAUCGCUAUCCAGGAGGAGAGUCAUACCAAGACCUUGUUCAACGUUUGGAGCCAGUUAUCAUGGAGUUAGAGAGACAGGGCAACGUGUUGGUCAUUUGCCACCAGGCUGUGAUGCGCUGUCUGCUAGCUUACUUCCUGGACAAGAGUGCAGAAGAUCUGCCGUACAUGAAAUGUCCGCUCCACACAAUACUCAAGCUAACACCCGUUGCAUAUGGUUGUAAAGUGGAAAUGUUUUAUCUUAAUGUGGAGGCAGUAAACACACACCGAGACCGGCCUCUUGGUAAAAUCCCGAGGGACUCUGCUCUCAUACACCGGCGGAAUAGUUACACUCCCUUGUCCAGUCACGACCAGGUCAAGCGUCCCAGGCUCUACAGCGCGGGCAACCAGCCCUGGCUACCGCUCGCCCCCACCCCAUCAGCUCUGAUGCCAGAGGGACGGCAAAGCCAAGUUAGUGCCAGAGUUACAGGCUCCCCCUCUAAAUCAGUCACCGUCGGCUGUAAUCAGUCACCUCCCACCACAGUUGUAACCCUGUGUUUGGCAUUCCCUCGUCUCAGUUUUGGACCCUCUCGAUGAUUUAGUGUCUGUGUUCAAAGUGACGUACUGUACAUGGAAUCCAUCUUUCUAUCUAUCUAUCUCUCUCUCUCUCUCAGGGCAUGUUUUUGGAUCUUGAAUGGAUUGCUCUCUUCUCUUUUUAAUGUCGUGCCUGCCUGUUUCCAAAGUCAGAUGUUUGUCUGUUUGCAUGACAUCUGCUUCACCACUGGGCUGUCUCCGGCUUGAAUAUGCAGAACAGCAUGCCUACUUUUUCGCUGAGGAGAGCUCCUCAUGAAUUAGCCUUUGUGAGAUACAAAAGACACACAAACAUCAAACAAAGACAUCUUGCACUAUAUUUUCUAUUUUCUAUCAGUGAUAAUGAACACGUUAAUUUACAAUCUAUAAUUAUGAUUCAAUUUUUUAAAACCGAAUUUAGAAAUUUGAGAGCAAUGUGAGAUAAUGAACAUAAUACAUAAACAACAGAUUUCAAACUUUUUUUAAAUUUAAAAAUGCAUAUUCAUAUUCGUAUGUGUUGUGUAUUUGUUGGCCUUGCCUUGUGGGUACAGUGCUUCAGCCCUUCUCCACAUUUCUAUCUAUCUAUCUAUCUAUAUAUCUCUCUCUCUCUCUCUCUCUCUCUCUCUUUCUCUCGCUCUCUCCACUUUCUUCAAAUCUGUCUUACAGCCUCGGAUAGGAAGCGGUUGUCUGAAUCCCUGUGCGAAGGAAUCGACUUUGACAGCCCAGAAGAAACUCGUGGCUGUGUCCGCUUCUGAGUGAAGACGAAAAAGUGUCUCUCUACAUCGCACAAAACAACUCUCCUGGAAAUUAACAGCUUCUUCAGAAAAAGCUCAACCGUUAUCUCAAACUCACGGGUUAUCUUUACUCUGCAUGCCGAGGCUUUGAACGGGAAGCCUUAUCAUUAGUAUCAUAAAUACUUCUGCAUGUGUGGCAAAAAUCAAUCAUCAGUCAAUCAAUCAGUGUAAAUUACUGCAAUGCCUUACUGAACUUUAAGCAUAUUGAUAGACUUAGCUCCUCUGAAUGUAAUGAGAACAAGUUAUGCAUUAGUAUGAUAAACAGUUUUCACUAUCGCAGAGAGAGCAUGUGAUAAAGUAGAUGCUGUAAAAAUAUUUUUAUAACAGUCUGCAGUUCAGCCAUCAUCUGUCAAGUGUUAUGUUAUUGAGUUAGUUUAGAUUAUGUAUGAAUGUAUGCUCUGAAGGAAAUUAAAAUACUGUACUGAGUUUA
Molecule: RNA transcript, 3084 nt
Organism: Larimichthys crocea (large yellow croaker)
Lineage: Eukaryota; Metazoa; Chordata; Actinopteri; Sciaenidae
Gene: pfkfb2b
Gene name: 6-phosphofructo-2-kinase/fructose-2,6-biphosphatase 2b
Exons: 16
Source: RefSeq, a predicted model, not a curated record